Molecule: ribosomal RNA, 434 nt
Filed under: uncultured Ruminococcus sp.
Lineage: Bacteria; Bacillati; Bacillota; Clostridia; Eubacteriales; Oscillospiraceae
Description: partial 16S ribosomal RNA
Rfam family: Bacterial small subunit ribosomal RNA
Source: RNAcentral
ACGGGAGGCAGCAGUGGGGAAUAUUGCACAAUGGGCGCAAGCCUGAUGCAGCGAUGCCGCGUGAGGGAAGAAGGUUUUCGGAUUGUAAACCUCUGUCAUCGGGGACGAUAAUGACUGUACCCGAGAAGGAAGCUCCGGCUAACUAUGUGCCAGCAGCCGCGGUAAUACAUAGGGAGCAAGCGUUAUCCGGAUUUACUGGGUGUAAAGGGUGCGUAGGCGGCAUGGCAAGUCAGUCGUUAAAGACCAGAGCUUAACUCUGGACCAGCGAUUGGAACUGUCAAGCUAGAGUACAGGAGAGGUUAGUGGAAUUACUAGUGUAGAGGUGGAAUUCGUAGAUAUUAGUAAGAACACCAAUGGCGAAGGCAGCUAACUGGCCUGAAACUGACGCUGAGGCACGAAAGUGUGGGGAGCAAACAGGAUUAGAUACCCUGGUA